This 437-nucleotide ribosomal RNA is filed under the name uncultured bacterium. Its description in RNAcentral is "bacterial SSU rRNA". It matches the Rfam family "Bacterial small subunit ribosomal RNA", at positions 343 to 797 of the family's 1533-position model. The record is from RNAcentral.
GGGAGGCAGCAGAGGGGAAUUUUGCGCAAUGGGCGGAAGCCUGACGCAGCAACGCCGCGUGCGGGAUGAAGGCCUUCGGGUUGUAAACCGCUUUCAGCAGGGAUGAAACUGACAGUACCUGCAGAAGAAGCCCCGGCUAACUACGUGCCAGCAGCCGCGGUAAUACGUAGGGGGCGAGCGUUAUCCGGAUUCAUUGGGCGUAAAGCGCGCGUAGGCGGCUUGUUAAGCGAGAUGUGAAAUCCGGGGGCUUAACCCGCGGCUUGCAUCUCGAACUGGCAGGCUUGAGUCUGGUAGAGGAGUGUGGAAUUCCCAGUGUAGCGGUGAAAUGCGCAGAUAUUGGGAGGAACACCAGUGGCGAAGGCGGCACUCUGGGCCACGACUGACGCUGAGGCGCGAAAGCUAGGGGAGCGAACAGGAUUAGAUACCCGUGUAGUCCC